Molecule: ribosomal RNA, 274 nt
Filed under: uncultured bacterium
Lineage: Bacteria
Description: partial 16S ribosomal RNA
Rfam family: Bacterial small subunit ribosomal RNA
Source: RNAcentral
AUACGGAGGGUGCGAGCGUUAAUCGGAAUUACUGGGCGUAAAGCGUACGUAGGCGGUUGGUUAAGUUAGAUGUGAAAGCCCCGGGCUUAACCUGGGAACUGCAUUUAAAACUGACGAACUAGAGUUGAGUAGAGGGGAGUGGAAUUUCAGGUGUAGCGGUGAAAUGCGUAGAGAUCUGAAGGCACACCAGUGGCGAAGGCGACUCCCUGGACUCGAACUGACGCUGAGGUACGAAAGCGUGGGUAGCAAACGGGAUUAGAAACCCUAGUAGUCC